RNAcentral lists this long non-coding RNA (209 nucleotides) under Serinus canaria (Common canary). RNAcentral describes it as "lncRNA (ENSSCAG00000008243.1)". The record is from RNAcentral. Lineage: Eukaryota; Metazoa; Chordata; Aves; Passeriformes; Fringillidae.
AAGCAGUGUUGAGCUCUCCUGGCUGAUUUUGUGCUCUGCUGUUGUUGUGCAGAUCCUUGCUGACGAUGGUGGUGGCUGGAGGCAGCACUCUUGAAGAUUAUAUCAUUUACAGACAAGAUCUCUGAAAUCUCUUUCCUUCAGACAGCAAAGCGCCUGAAUGGGAGUUCAGUGGUGAAUCUCUGUGUGAUUUGACCAUAAAGAGUUCAUCA